This is a long non-coding RNA of Sinocyclocheilus rhinocerous, 592 nucleotides long. RefSeq lists it as uncharacterized. Lineage: Eukaryota; Metazoa; Chordata; Actinopteri; Cypriniformes; Cyprinidae. The transcript is spliced from 3 exons. The record is from RefSeq and is a predicted model, not a curated record.
UGUUGUAAUAUGCCAGACUGCCUGUUUUUAAGAUCCCCAGACUGCAUAAGAUUUUGUCAUUUAUGGCCAUUAUAAAGCAAACAAAAUGUCAUUUUUUGCCAAAAACACCAGUAGAAGAGGCAUGUUUCAUCCCUGUGUUGUUUUCAUGGCACUCGUUUGUCAGCAGAUGUUUGCAGUUAUGCCGUUUAAGAGCUGUUUUGGGCUCCACGUGUUGAUCCAGACCCAGUUAAAAUGUGCAGCAGACUGGAUGACCGACAGUAACCCCGGCGCUCAGAGCGGAUGCGCUAUAAAAGCUCUUCAGAACCUUCAGAUGCUCCUUCACACGAGAGUCUAGAAGGACGAAUAUACAUCUGAUUCAUUGGGAUUACAGCGAAUGUCCAUCAAAGGUCAUCAGCUGUCAGUUGAGAGCUGAGAGUGAAAAGGGACCAGAGUGAAGAUGUCUGUCUCCACUCAGCUGGGUCUGCUGCUGUGGAAGAACUUCACCUACAGAAGGAGACAAACGCUCCAACUGCUGACGGAGAUUGUGUGGCCUCUCUUUAUUUUCUUCAUUCUGAUCGCUGUGAGGUUGAACUACCCGCCUUAUGAGCAACAU